GUUGAACCACUAAAUGACUUAUCUAGUGUUGUUUGGGGUUAGAAUAAGUUAGAAUACAAUGAAUUUGAUUGAUUUCAAGUGCUAUAGAUGCAUGAAGAGUGUUUUGAAGUAUGGAGAAAGACUUGUUGAAAUUGGGUCUCAAAUGGGCUAAGAACUCGGAAACAUUGCGUUGAACCACUGAAUGACUUAUCUAGUGUUAUUUGGGGUUAGUAUAUGUUAGAAUACAAUAACUUUGAUUGAUUACAAGUGCUAGAGAUGCAUGAAGAGUUUUUAGAAGUGUGUAGAAUAACUUGUUGAAAUUGUUUCCCAAAUGGGCUAAGAACUCGGAAACACUGCGUUGAAUCACUAAAUGACUUAUCUAGUAUUGUUUGGGUUUAGAAUAUGUUAGAAUACAAUAAAUUUUAUUGAUUACAAGUGCUAGAGAUGCAUGAAGAGUGUUUAGAAGUGCGUAGAAAGACUUGUUGAAAUUUGGUCCGAAAUGGGCUAAGAAUCGAUAAACAUCUCUUUGGAGCAGUAAAUGGCUUGUCUAGUGAUGUUUAGGGUUAGAAUACGUUAGAAAAAAAUAAAUUUGAGAGAUUGCAAGUGCUAGAGAUGCAUGAAGAGUGUUUAGAAGUGUGAAGAAAGACUUUUUGAAAUUGGGUCCCAAAUGGGCUAAGAACUCGGAAACAUUGCGUUGAACCUCUAUAUGACUUAUCUAAUGUUGUAUGGGGUUAGUAUAUGUUAGAAUACAAUGAAUUUGGUUGAUUACAAGUGCUAGAGGUGCAUGAACAGUGUUUUGAAGUAUGGAGAAAGACUUGUUGAAAUUGGGUCCCAAAUGGGCUAAGAACUCGGAAACAUUGCGUUGAACCACUAAAUGACUUAUCUAGUGUUGUUUGGGGUUAAAAUAUGUUAGAAUACUAUAAAUUUGAUUGAUUACAAGUACUAAAGAUGCAUGAAGAGUGUUUAGUUGUGUUGAGAAAGACUUGUUGAAAUUGGGUCCCAAAUAGGCUACGAACUCGGAAACAUUGCGUUGAACCACUAAAUGACUUAUCUAGUGUUGUUUGGGGUUAGAAUAUGUUAGAAUACAAUAAAUUUNNN
This 1077-nucleotide long non-coding RNA is filed under the name Capsella rubella. RNAcentral's name for it is "long non-coding RNA (CRUB_LNC000717)". Lineage: Eukaryota; Viridiplantae; Streptophyta; Magnoliopsida; Brassicales; Brassicaceae. The record is from RNAcentral.